This 393-nucleotide long non-coding RNA is filed under the name Sorghum bicolor (sorghum). RNAcentral describes it as "long non-coding RNA (SBIC_LNC015975)". Lineage: Eukaryota; Viridiplantae; Streptophyta; Magnoliopsida; Poales; Poaceae. The record is from RNAcentral.
CCGGGGAACAGUAGUUGUGCUAGUUUCGAACCAAGUCGUCUGCGUAUCCUUUUCUUUUUCUUUUUUUCACCAUACCACAUGGAUUUCACUCCAAACAUUAAUGAGCAUGGAAUUUAUUUCAUAGCCACUUCAUUUACUCCAUGCUCAUAUGCAACAUCUUCCCAAUCCGUUGGUUUUUCCAACAUCACCACAUUCGAGAUCUCCAACCCCCUCAUCCUUUCUAUUUAUAAAAACUUUAAAAGGGUGGUUGUUGAUGCAUAUGUCUAUAUUAAAUAUUGCAGAUCUUGUUGAGUUGAUCUUGAUAUAGGUCAGCGUUGGAGGGGAAACCACUUCGCCGACAUAAAUUGAUGGUUUCCCAAGGACAAGCUUAGUGUACUAAAACAAGCACUGAUC